RNAcentral lists this ribosomal RNA (468 nucleotides) under uncultured bacterium. Its description in RNAcentral is "partial 16S ribosomal RNA". It matches the Rfam family "Bacterial small subunit ribosomal RNA", at positions 28 to 507 of the family's 1533-position model. The record is from RNAcentral.
GACGAACGCUGGCGGCGUGCUUAACACAUGCAAGUCGAACGGAAAGGCCCUGCUUUUGUGGGGUGCUCGAGUGGCGAACGGGUGAGUAACACGUGAGUAACCUGCCCUUGACUUUGGGAUAACUUCAGGAAACUGGGGCUAAUACCGGAUAGGAGCUCCUGCUGCAUGGUGGGGGUUGGAAAGUUUCGGCGGUUGGGGAUGGACUCGCGGCUUAUCAGCUUGUUGGUGGGGUAGUGGCUUACCAAGGCUUUGACGGGUAGCCGGCCUGAGAGGGUGACCGGCCACAUUGGGACCGAGAUACGGCCCAGAAUCCUACGGGAGGCAGCAGUUGGGAAUAUUGCACAAUGGGCGGAAGCCUGAUGCAGCAACGCCGCGUGCGGGAUGACGGCCUUCGGGUUUGAAACCGCUUUCGCCUGUGACGAAGCGUGAGUGACGGUAAUGGGUAAAGAAGCACCGGCUAACUACGUG